RNAcentral lists this long non-coding RNA (419 nucleotides) under Homo sapiens (human). RNAcentral's name for it is "non-protein coding lnc-PRELID2-1:6". The record is from RNAcentral. Lineage: Eukaryota; Metazoa; Chordata; Mammalia; Primates; Hominidae.
UUAUUUAAAGGAUGCAGAAGAAAAAUUAGCAUAGGAUGCACAGUGGAGAGAUCAGCAGAAACACAUAGGUUUGUGGCCCCAAAGCUCACCAGCAAAUAAUGUCUGAGUGAGAGAAGGGCAUGUUAUACCUUUGGUGAGAUAAUAGCUUCUCUCUAGCCCAGCCUUAUAUACAGAAGGGUGGAGCUGGCUGCAUGAGACCACCUCAUCUGAGUCAGGUUGCAGCUGGAAGCUGGAUGGACAGAUGCAAAUUUUGGAAUUUUCUCCUGGUUGACUGCUGUGCUUAGAGUUUUGAUCCAUCAGUGGAGGGAAAUUGAGUGAAAAUGAUCCACAUGCCAAUCUGGGCUGGCAUCUCAUCGCUUAGCCCAGCGUUUGUCUCACAUCUUGUGUGUAAUGCCAGCAACUAAAUCUCCAAGCUCGAU